RNAcentral lists this ribosomal RNA (253 nucleotides) under uncultured bacterium. Its description in RNAcentral is "partial 16S ribosomal RNA". It matches the Rfam family "Bacterial small subunit ribosomal RNA", at positions 524 to 776 of the family's 1533-position model. The record is from RNAcentral.
UACGUAGGGUGCAAGCGUUGUCCGGAAUUAUUGGGCGUAAAGAGCUUGUAGGCGGUCUGUCGCGUCUGCUGUGAAAAUCCGGGGCUCAACCCCGGACUUGCAGUGGGUACGGGCAGACUAGAGUGUGGUAGGGGAGACUGGAAUUCCUGGUGUAGCGGUGAAAUGCGCAGAUAUCGGGAAGAACACCCGUGGCGAAGGCGGUUCUCUGGGACGGUACUGACGCUGAGACGCGAAAGCGUGGGGAGCGAACAGG